This 713-nucleotide ribosomal RNA is filed under the name uncultured Sphingomonas sp. Its description in RNAcentral is "bacterial SSU rRNA". It matches the Rfam family "Bacterial small subunit ribosomal RNA", at positions 1 to 763 of the family's 1533-position model. The record is from RNAcentral. Lineage: Bacteria; Pseudomonadati; Pseudomonadota; Alphaproteobacteria; Sphingomonadales; Sphingomonadaceae.
UAAGAGAUUUUGGUUUGGCUCAGAACGAACGCUGGCGGCAUGCCUAAUACAUGCAAGUCGAACGAUCCUUUCGGGGAUAGUGGCGCACGGGUGCGUAACGCGUGGGAAUCUGCCCUUGGGUUCGGAAUAACUUCGGGAAACUGAAGCUAAUACCGGAUGAUGACGAAAGUCCAAAGAUUUAUCGCCCAGGGAUGAGCCCGCGUAGGAUUAGCUAGUUGGUGGGGUAAAGGCCUACCAAGGCGACGAUCCUUAGCUGGUCUGAGAGGAUGAUCAGCCACACUGGGACUGAGACACGGCCCAGACUCCUACGGGAGGCAGCAGUAGGGAAUAUUGGACAAUGGGCGAAAGCCUGAUCCAGCAAUGCCGCGUGAGUGAUGAAGGCCUUAGGGUUGUAAAGCUCUUUUACCCGAGAUGAUAAUGACAGUAUCGGGAGAAUAAGCUCCGGCUAACUCCGUGCCAGCAGCCGCGGUAAUACGGAGGGAGCUAGCGUUGUUCGGAAUUACUGGGCGUAAAGCGCACGUAGGCGGCGAUUUAAGUCAGAGGUGAAAGCCCGGGGCUCAACCCCGGAACUGCCUUUGAGACUGGAUUGCUAGAAUCUUGGAGAGGCGAGUGGAAUUCCGAGUGUAGAGGUGAAAUUCGUAGAUAUUCGGAAGAACACCAGUGGCGAAGGCGGCUCGCUGGACAAGUAUGACCGCCGUAGGUGCGAAAAGGCC